CCUGGGUCCGGCGUGAUGAGGUGGGGCUUCGUGAGCGCUGGAAUGUGCCGGCGCGGUCCCCAAGGCCCGCCGCGCGGGAGGCCGGCGUUCUCGGUUCCAGAUGCUGCCUCCGGCCUCGGGAAGUAGGGAGCAGGGCUCCUCUGGGAUCCUGUAAACUUACUCAGCUCAAAAUGCAGUCCAGUGCCCUGCCCUUCCUUCCAGAAGAUCAUUUUCACAUGAAAAAUCUUAUACGGAUAGACAAACUUCUGCUCAAGUUUUCAUUGCAAGAAAAACAGCAACACUGUUUAAGGACCUGUCUCAGGCUACCUUAAAGGGCCAUCCUUUAAGGAACACAGAGAAGUCUAUUAUCCUUACAGUGAAAUGCAAAACAACUGCAGAAAACCCCACUGAGUUCGCUCCAAAUGCUCAUCUUCUUCUUCAGCCCUGGAUGUCAAACAGGAAACAAAAUUAUUUUUCUUCCCAGAGGGCAGAGUAAGCUUGCCCCACAUUUGGGUCCUCAGCGGGAAUGCAGAGCACCAGGUCAGCGGGAGGCUGCCCUAGCCCUCUGGAGACCUCAGGAUUGAACUUUCCGCAAACUUCUUGGCCGUGUGGCCACACCUGGACCCUAACCCCAAGGCCCACUCACUGCUUCUCCUGCGCAUCCAGGUCCCUGACGAGCGCGUCGCGCUUGUUUACCAGGGCCACCAGCUCAUCCAGCAGGAGCUGCUCACGUCGCUUCUGGGCCUCCGUCUUCUGCCAGUCUGCAGAGCACAGGAGGCUAGUUACCCUCGGCACAGCCUCGGUAUGCUUCGCCCCCGCCCCCUCCCCUUCCCGCCUUUUUCAGUUUUCUUAUAUCUCUAAGCAAACCAUGUUAAUGGAUCCAGUAGUUUGUGCUUUCUGGGGCAUUUGGCCGUCAUGAUGAAGGCUUUAUACCUAGAAACCUACUUUCUAAAUAUUUCCUGCAGAUGGAGAUGGGUGCUGCAGGGUUGGAACCUGCUAGAGACCAGGUGUGAGCUGAUGGCCAGCAAGAGAUACACACCUGAAUCCAGCAAAGUGGGGGAGGGGAGCUGGAGGCCUGAAGAGGUUGGCCCAACGGUUGGGAAGGGGGUGUGGGUAAAUGAGGAGGCGGGAAACAGAGAGGGCGAUAAAAUCAUUUUGAAAGGACUAGAGAAUCUGCCAGAGAACCUACCCUCCUCCCCCACCCCCACUCUCACCCCAAACAGCCCAUUCUUCGCUAAUUUCCUCUUCGCUCUAUUUUAGCAGUUGGAUGUAUCUCACACUGGGCGCCAUAUGCUUCACAAUAACUUUAAAAGUAGUGAAUCGGCUAAUUAGCAUUUUUCUUUGAAGUAAAAAAUAAAUUUGCUCUGCAAUAUUACACUGCAGCUCUCGAUCGCAUCACAGCCAGUUUUCUUUUGGAGACGUUUGCUGGGUGGUUUCAAAUUAAGGCACUUUUUGCAAAGGAAAAAUUACAUAUUUCUUUUUGAAACCUCAUGUUAGAGGUUGGAAAAUCCAAUGGGCAGUGCUUUUUCCAUGAGUAGGGGCUGUUUUAUGAGAGUUUUAGUCUCCACUAAUAUAUUUACUAAUCCUAACUGGCCUAAUAAUUUCCUUAAGAUGAGCAGCAGUUUCAUUAAAUAAAAACAGGACCAAAUCGAACAUUUAAAACACUUUUGAAACCAAAGCCAACUGCUCUCUGGCCAGACUGUAAGGGCUUGUAGCUGUCAAUCAACCCCCUGUCUACCCCGCCUCCCUCAUUAGGAAGGUAAACAAUGAAAAGAAGAAGUAGAUGAUGAGGCAGAUAGCAGAACAAAUGAGGACCUAGAGGGAAACAGGACACCAGCUUAAAAAAA
Long non-coding RNA from Octodon degus (degu), 1826 nucleotides. RefSeq lists it as uncharacterized. Lineage: Eukaryota; Metazoa; Chordata; Mammalia; Rodentia; Octodontidae. The record is from RefSeq and is a predicted model, not a curated record. The transcript is spliced from 4 exons.